CACGACAAACACGAAAACGAUUGGCGAAAAAAAUAAGACAGAUGACGUGGCAAAUUGAGCCAAUAGGCUCCAAAUUGCGGCUCGAUGUUUUCGAUAGUUUGAGGCAGAGAUUUGAGUUUUCAGAAGUGCGAGCAUCAGAAAAAUAUUUG
This is a non-coding RNA of Caenorhabditis elegans, 149 nucleotides long. The record is from Ensembl. Lineage: Eukaryota; Metazoa; Nematoda; Chromadorea; Rhabditida; Rhabditidae.